Non-coding RNA from Ctenopharyngodon idella (grass carp), 491 nucleotides. The record is from the annotation of a RefSeq genome assembly. NCBI's taxonomy places the organism in Eukaryota, Metazoa, Chordata, Actinopteri, Cypriniformes, Xenocyprididae.
CAACAGCUGGAGUUUGAAUCAUUUCAAAGGCUGGGACUCACUGUGCGCUCCACCAAAACUCAACAUGACUAGAGCCAUUAUUUCAUUGAUUCUGUUACUGCACUGGAGCCAAGGCACUAUUGGUGGCGAUGAUGUUAUUCAAGAGCCUAAAAUUCUGUGGGAACAAAAGGGGAAUUCUGCUUAUAUGAACUGCACUCAUAAUAAGGAUUCAUCCUACAGACAGAUGUACUGGUACCGCCAGCGUCCAGGAGAGACUAUGAGACUCAUUGUGUACACUGUUGCUAAUUUAAAUCCAGAAUUUGGAGAUGUUGAUCAGAAGAAAUUUGAACCUGAUAAAAGUGUUGCUGAAAGUGGAUCUCUAACAGUGAAAGAUCUAGAGCCAGAAGACAGUGCCAUAUAUUUCUGUUCAGUGAGAGAACACAGUGUGUCAAAGGCUGGAGAGUGCUGUACAAAAACAUACUGUACAUGAAAGAUCAGUGACAGCAUUAGUC